Molecule: transfer RNA, 75 nt
Filed under: Alphaproteobacteria bacterium
Lineage: Bacteria; Pseudomonadati; Pseudomonadota; Alphaproteobacteria
Also listed under: 1 other name
Description: tRNA-Thr
Rfam family: tRNA
About the family: Transfer RNA (tRNA) molecules are approximately 80 nucleotides in length. Their secondary structure includes four short double-helical elements and three loops (D, anti-codon, and T loops).
Source: RNAcentral
GCCUUCGUAGCUCAGUGAUAGAGCACGUCAUUGGUAAUGACGGGGUCGGAAGUUUGAUUCUUCUCGGAGGCACCA